GGACUGCUGAGCAGUCCCAUACCAGAACGAAACGGCCCGUCCAGUGC
Non-coding RNA from Schistosoma rodhaini, 47 nucleotides. Lineage: Eukaryota; Metazoa; Platyhelminthes; Trematoda; Strigeidida; Schistosomatidae. The record is from Rfam.